CCUUACCUACCCUUGACAUGUCCGGAAUCCUGGAGAGAUCUGGGAGUGCUCGCAAGAGAACCGGAACACAGGUGCUGCAUGGCUGUCGUCAGCUCGUGUCGUGAGAUGUUGGGUUAAGUCCCGCAACGAGCGCAACCCUUGUCAUUGGUUGCACCAUUCAGUUGGGCACUCUAAUGAGACUGCCGGUGACAAACCGGAGGAAGGUGGGGAUGACGUCAAGUCCUCAUGGCCCUUAUGGGUAGGGCUUCACACGUCAUACAAUGGUUGGUACAGAGGGUCGCCAACCCGCGAGGGGGAGCCAAUCCCACAAAGCCGAUCGUAGUCCGGAUUGGAGUCUGCAACUCGACUCCAUGAAGUCGGAAUCGCUAGUAAUCGUGGAUCAGCAUGUCACGGUGAAUACGUUCCCGGGUCUU
RNAcentral lists this ribosomal RNA (413 nucleotides) under uncultured Hydrogenophilaceae bacterium. Its description in RNAcentral is "bacterial SSU rRNA". It matches the Rfam family "Bacterial small subunit ribosomal RNA", at positions 969 to 1382 of the family's 1533-position model. The record is from RNAcentral. Lineage: Bacteria; Pseudomonadati; Pseudomonadota; Hydrogenophilia; Hydrogenophilales; Hydrogenophilaceae.